GUAGCUUGGUGGCAGAGAGGGUUUGCCCAACAUGCACGAUGGCCUGGAUUCCAUCCCUAGCACCAGGAAGUGGGAGGAAGAGGGAGAGGAAAACUAUCGACUUUUGUAUGUUAAUCUGAUGUUGUACAACUUUGCUAAAAUUUCUUAUAAUUUCUAGUAGUUUUAUAUUUGUUCUUUGAUUUUGUGCCUAGACAGUGUUUAAUCAGCCUUGCAUACCCAUAAUGAUUUAUUUGAUUGUGGUAUAUAAUUCUUUUGGGGUGUUGUUAGAUUCAGUUUGCUGGUAUUUGUUGAGGAUUUCUAUGUCCAUGUUUAUGAGAGGUCGGCUCUGAGGUUUUCUUUUUUGGUCAUGUCUCAUCUGCUAUUACCAUUUGGGUAUGUUAAUGUCUUUGGAAGAGAUUAUCGAGAACUGAUGUUAUUUCUUUCUUAAGUGUUUGGCGGAAUUCACCAGUGAGACCAUCUAAGCCUUGUCUUCAUCUUUUGAAUAGUUAUUAGGUAUUGAUUGAAUUUCUUAAAUUCAUGUAGUUUGGUUCAUUUUGUUUAUAUAUCUCUGUGUGCCUGAAGAUUGUAUCCUUCAAGAAGUUGGUCCAUUUUAUCCAAGUUUCCAAUUUUUAGAAAUGGAGUUAUUCACAGUAUUGCCCCACCUUUUCUUCCUUCCUUCCUUCCUUCCUUCCUUCCUUCCUUCCUUCCUUCCUUCCUUCCUUCCUUCCUUCUUUCCUUCUUCUUUCCUUCCUUCCCUAGGGGCACGUUACAUUCCCGGCCCUUUUUUAAAACUUUGAGACGGGUCUUGCUGUUGCUGAGGCUGGAUUUGAACUUGCGAUUCUCUUACCUUAGCCUCCUGAGAUGCUGGGAUUACAGGCAUGCGCUACUACGCCCAGCCAUAGGAAGGCUUAGAAGUACUUUUAAAAGGUCAGGAAGACCUUUUAUAGUCUUUUUAAUGUCUGUGGGAUUAAUGGCAAUGCUGCUUCUUUUUUUCUUUGUUAGCCUGGCUAUGAGUUCAUCAGUUUAUUGAUUUUGGGGGGUGGGUACUGGGUCUUUGAUCCAUUUUGAUUUCACUUUUGUGUAUGGUAUAGUUUCAUUCUUUUACAUGUGGAUGCCUAGUUUUCUCAGCACCCCAUUUUUGAAAAGACUGUCCUUUUCCUAUUGAAUGAUCUUGGUCCCU
This 1159-nucleotide long non-coding RNA is filed under the name Marmota monax (woodchuck). Lineage: Eukaryota; Metazoa; Chordata; Mammalia; Rodentia; Sciuridae. The record is from RNAcentral.